GCGUGAGUGAAGAAGGCCUUCGGGUUGUAAAGCUCUUUCGGCGGGGACGAAACGGUCCGUGCUAAUACCACGGACUACUGACGGUACCCGCAGAAGAAGCACCGGCUAACUACGUGCCAGCAGCCGCGGUAAUACGUAGGGUGCAGGCGUUAAUCGGAAUUACUGGGCGUAAAGCGUGCGCAGGCGGUUUGUUAAGACAGGUGUGAAAUCCCCGGGCUCAACCUGGGAAUUGCGCUUGUUACUGGCAGACUUGAGUGUGGCAGAGGGGGGUGGAAUUCCAAGUGUAGCAGUGAAAUGCGU
Molecule: ribosomal RNA, 300 nt
Filed under: uncultured bacterium
Lineage: Bacteria
Description: bacterial SSU rRNA
Rfam family: Bacterial small subunit ribosomal RNA
Source: RNAcentral